UACGGGGGGGGCAAGCGUUGUUCGGAAUUACUGGGCGUAAAGGGCUCGUAGGUGGUCAACUAAGUCAGACGUGAAAUCCCUCGGCUUAACCGGGGAACUGCGUCUGAUACUGGAUGGCUUGAGUUCGGGAGAGGGAUGCGGAAUUCCAGGUGUAGCGGUGAAAUGCGUAGAUAUCUGGAGGAACACCGGUGGCGAAGGCGGCAUCCUGGACCGACACUGACGCUGAGGAGCGAAAGCCAGGGGAGCAAACGGG
RNAcentral lists this ribosomal RNA (253 nucleotides) under uncultured bacterium. Its description in RNAcentral is "partial 16S ribosomal RNA". It matches the Rfam family "Bacterial small subunit ribosomal RNA", at positions 524 to 776 of the family's 1533-position model. The record is from RNAcentral.